AGUCAUAUGCUUGUCUCAAAGAUUAAGCCAUGCAUGUCUAAGUAUAAGCAAUUAUACCGCGAAACUGCGAAUGGCUCAUUAUAUAAGUUAUCGUUUAUUUGAUAAUACUUUACUACUUGGAUAACCGUGGUAAUUCUAGAGCUAAUACAUGCUGAAAAUCCCGACUUCGGAAGGGAUGUAUUUAUUAGAUUAAAAACCAAUGCCCCCCGGGGCUCUCUGGUGAAUCAUGAUAACUAGUCGAAUCGACAGGCCUUGUGCCGGCGAUGGCUCAUUCAAAUUUCUUCCCUAUCAACUUUCGAUGUUUGGGUAUUGGCCAAACAUGGUGGCAACGGGUAACGGAGGGUUAGGGCUCGACCCCGGAGAAGGAGCCUGAGAAACGGCUACUACAUCCAAGGAAGGCAGCAGGCGCGCAAAUUACCCAAUCCCGACACGGGGAGGUAGUGACAAUAAAUACUGAUACAGGGCUCUUUUGGGUCUUGUAAUCGGAAUGAGUACAAUUUAAAUCCCUUAACGAGGAACAAUUGGAGGGCAAGUCUGGUGCCAGCAGCCGCGGUAAUUCCAGCUCCAAUAGCGUAUAUUAAAGUUGUUGUGGUUAAAAAGCUCGUAGUUGAACCUUGGGCCUGGCUGGCCGGUCCGCCUCACCGCGUGCACUGGUCCGGCCGGGCCUUUCCCUCUGCGGAACCCCAUGCCCUUCACUGGGUGUGGCGGGGAAACAGGACUUUUACUUUGAAAAAAUUAGAGUGCUCAAGGCAGGCCUAUGCUCGAAUACAUUAGCAUGGAAUAAUAGAAUAGGACGCGUGGUUCUAUUUUGUUGGUUUCUAGGACCGCCGUAAUGAUUAAUAGGGACAGUCGGGGGCAUCAGUAUUCAAUUGUCAGAGGUGAAAUUCUUGGAUUUAUUGAAGACUAACUACUGCGAAAGCAUUUGCCAAGGAUGUUUUCAUUAAUCAGGAACGAAAGUUAGGGGAUCGAAGACGAUCAGAUACCGUCGUAGUCUUAACCAUAAACUAUGCCGACUAGGGAUCGGACGAUGUUACAUUUUUGACGCGUUCGGCACCUUACGAGAAAUCAAAGUGCUUGGGCUCCAGGGGGAGUAUGGUCGCAAGGCUGAAA
Molecule: ribosomal RNA, 1110 nt
Filed under: Trichoderma gelatinosum
Lineage: Eukaryota; Fungi; Ascomycota; Sordariomycetes; Hypocreales; Hypocreaceae
Description: SSU rRNA
Rfam family: Eukaryotic small subunit ribosomal RNA
Source: RNAcentral